Long non-coding RNA from Cavia porcellus (domestic guinea pig), 793 nucleotides. RefSeq lists it as uncharacterized. NCBI's taxonomy places the organism in Eukaryota, Metazoa, Chordata, Mammalia, Rodentia, Caviidae. The record is from RefSeq and is a predicted model, not a curated record. The transcript has 2 exons.
UCUGGGAACCUCUACUUUCUGCUCACUGAGCUGGGUUGGUUUAGAUUCCACUUAGAAGUGAGUCAGGCAGUACCCAACUUUCCAUCUCUGGCUUAUUUCCCUUAGCUUAGUAUCCUUCAGGUUCACUCAUGCUGUUGACAAUGGCAUUUCCUUCCUUGUAAACGCUGAGCGCGUGUGUGCAUCGGGUGUGCAUCUCUAUCACACUGCCUUUCAACCACAGAGGAACCCUUGUGUGGAUUCCUUACCUGGUCUAUAGUGCACAGCGCUGCGGUGAAUGUGGGAGUGUAGACGUCCCUUUAAGACCCUGAUUUCAUUUCUGGAUGCAGACCCAGAAGCGGGAUUGCUGGAUCUCACAGGAGAUCUAUUUUUAAUCUUUUUGAGGAGUCCUCCAUACUGGUUUCCUUCGUGCCCACACUAAAUUGCGUCCCCAUCUGUAGUAUGCAAGGGCUCCCUUUUUUCCCCCCUCCUCACUAACAGCUAUUCUUUGUCUUUCUGAUGGCAGCCAUCCGAACAGGUGCUGUGGCCUGAGUCCGUCCCCUGAAUCUGUAAGCUGGAAUUGUGCCCCUCAAGGUGAACGUCUUCGGAGGUGGAGCUGCUGGGAGGUGACUAGAUCAGGAGGGUGAAGCCUCGUGAUUAAAAUCAUCGACCUCUUCAGAGCCCAGAGACCUCGGUGGCGAGGAGCCUUUCUGACCCAGAAAACAGACCCCUCCUAGAGUCUGAGUUUGCUACACCUUGACCUUCAGCUGCUGGCUUCCAGAACUGUGAGAAAUAAAUUUCAAAUAUUUAUAAACCA